AUAAAAGUGAAUACACUCGGUCAUCUUAAGGGCAGUCGUGUCCUUGGCUAUACCAUGGAAAAUGUAACUGAUAUGCAAUCUAAACCUCAAUGGCAACAAAGGGGAAAUGAAGAGAAGGAGGCAGCAGUCCAUGAAGAAAUGAAAAGAAUGAACCAACUUCCUGUAAAUAGCACUUAUGCUGCUCAUCGCCUGCGAGUUCUCAAUAAAAUUCUGCAACUUUUGUCCAUUCAGAGGACUGUCUCACA
RNAcentral lists this unclassified non-coding RNA (245 nucleotides) under Hevea brasiliensis (rubber tree). Lineage: Eukaryota; Viridiplantae; Streptophyta; Magnoliopsida; Malpighiales; Euphorbiaceae. The record is from RNAcentral.